RNAcentral lists this long non-coding RNA (342 nucleotides) under Lathyrus oleraceus (garden pea). RNAcentral describes it as "Pisum sativum (pea) long non-coding RNA (PSAT_LNC026588)". Lineage: Eukaryota; Viridiplantae; Streptophyta; Magnoliopsida; Fabales; Fabaceae. The record is from RNAcentral.
GUUCGGCUAACUACGGGGUUAUGGAUUGGGUUUUGGACGAACAAUGUUACUACGCAAUCUACCAGAUGCUCGACCUUUGGAGACUUACUCGCCUGUAGUAGAAGGAGAUAACAUGUUGCUUUGGGUUUUAGGGUUUGUUCGUGUUGUAGGAACGCACAUGCAAAAAGGAAGUCCUAGGCGAAGGAACAGUGCUACCUUAACUGGCAUGCAAACGGGAGACUAUCUGAAGCCUCGUGUCCUAUGGGGAAGCGAUCACACCACACAAAACAUGUAUCUUAAAGUAAAAUGCCACCAAGGGGCUCAAACAUUGCCUCCUAUCGAGGUCUUCCAGCUAAGAAAGCG